CUUGCAUCUUGGCAUGUCUUAGCCAAGCAAGGUCUCCUUGCCCAUGGCACCCCAUGGCAAGAGACAACAUAUUUGUACCAAAAUGUGUAUUUAUCUAUACUUGGAAUGUAAUGUAUCAUUCCCAAGACGUAUCCAUCCAAGCUCCCUUAUUCUUCCAACCUCUCUCAUGUCUUGCAACCAACCUAAUUACUUCCGCUGCAACACGUUGACGUAGUGCUUGGUGCACUACCCCUUCCCGAAAGGCUUACUUGGCUACGUGGGCAUUAUAGUUAGCCAAGUGCCGCACGUAUGGUUAGCUUCAGACUCUAACCACGUGAAACUACGCCGCUCUGACUCUUCAUGACGAUGGAAUCCUAAUCACUGCGGAAAAGAUUGCAGCCGUUGUAGCAGCUGCAAGGCUCUAUGUGGAAUCUUACUGGCCUAGCUUGUUUGCUAAAUUGGCGGCGAAGAGGAACAUUGGGAACCUUCUUCUUAAUGUUGGUUGUGGAGGUGGCGCUGCGGCUCCCGUGGCUGUAGCUGCUCCUACUGCCAGUGCUGCUGUCGUGCCUCCCAUCGAGGAAAAGAGGGUAUGCGGAUGAAUUUUUAACUUUUCUUCAUUUUAAAGAACUUUUGCUGUAACUUCCCAUUUACGCAUGAUUUUGAAUAAAGAUUGAACUGUUCAACGGUUGCCAA
Molecule: long non-coding RNA, 672 nt
Organism: Cucumis sativus (cucumber)
Lineage: Eukaryota; Viridiplantae; Streptophyta; Magnoliopsida; Cucurbitales; Cucurbitaceae
Exons: 2
Source: RefSeq, a predicted model, not a curated record